UCCGGCUUAUCACCGGCAGUCCCACUAGAGUGCCCAACUAAAUGCUGGCAACUAAUGGCGAGGGUUGCGCUCGUUGCGGGACUUAACCCAACAUCUCACGACACGAGCUGACGACAGCCAUGCAGCACCUGUGUACAGGCCCCGAGGGGAGGGCGACUUUCAUCGCCUGUCCUGCACAUGUCAAACCCAGGUAAGGUUCUUCGCGUUGCGUCGAAUUAAACCACACGCUCCGCUGCUUGUGCGGGCCCCCGCCUAUUCCUUUGAGUUUUAACCUUGCGGCCGUAGUCCCCAGGCGGUGAACUUAAUGCGUUAGCUGCGGCACUGAUCGGGUCAAUCCGACCAACACCUAGUUCACAACGUUUAGGGCGUGGACUAC
Molecule: unclassified non-coding RNA, 376 nt
Filed under: uncultured Chloroflexota bacterium
Lineage: Bacteria; Bacillati; Chloroflexota
Description: uncultured Chloroflexi bacterium contains 16S-23S intergenic spacer region
Source: RNAcentral